Molecule: non-coding RNA, 310 nt
Organism: Pelobates cultripes (western spadefoot toad)
Lineage: Eukaryota; Metazoa; Chordata; Amphibia; Anura; Pelobatidae
Source: the annotation of a GenBank genome assembly
CCUGUUCUAAAGAAAGAUGAUAUGGCACUAGAAAAAGUGCAAAGACGAGCUACAAAAUUGAUAAAAGGACUGGAGUAUUUUAGUUACGAAGAAAGGUAAAAAAAAUGAAAUCUGUUUAGUUUGGAAAAACGGUGCCUGAGAGGGGAUAUGAUAACAUUAUACAAAUAUAUUCGGGGCCAGUACAUACCUUUAUCUGGAAAUCUAUUCAUAAACAGGGUUAUACAUAGGACACGAGGUCACACAUUUAGCCUGGAAGAAAGGAGAUUUCGUCUAAGGCAAAGAAAAGGGUUUUUUUUACAAUAAGAGCAAU